AUGGGAACAUUGAUGCAACAUGAGCUAGGAAGGUACAUAAGGUCAGGACUUUUUAGAAGUCCUGCUUUGUUUUUUCAAGUGACUUACAGAAGAUCUGCAUUAGUGUGUAGAUGGACACUAAUGGCUUUGCAGAUUUUCAUGUCAUUCUGGAAAGUCCUGUUUACUUUCAUUUGGCUGGUGAAGCUUCUUCCAGGCACACAGGGUCACACUAAAGCCCAUGGAGCAGCACGGUGGGGACAAGCCCUGCAGACACAGGGUCCCUGCAGAAAUCCGGCGUGUGGCACAGGAGACAAAGGCACUCUGAAGUACUUUCUCUUGGAAACCCUGGCUUCAUUUUCAAAAAGCAAAGAGAUGUUGUUUGGGAGACACGAGCAUCUGCUUCGUGACUUCUCGGUGCAGGGGACAAGCAACUCGCUGGUGUCUUGCCAGAUGGAAGGCACCUGGCUCUCUAGACUGCCAUCCACAGACGAGCCGACGCACAUGCACACACCUGCCUCAGACAGGAUGAAAAUGAGGCAUGGCAUCUAUUGCCAAAGAAAGGUUUCUUCAGUACCAGAAUUACUAAAACUUCCUUAAGAUAUGCAGGAGUGCUUCCAGAUUGCAAAAUGAAAAUCGCUGCCCAGAAUCCUGAAUUCAAAGUAGGGAAAUAUCCCUUUAAAGAAACCCAUUGGCAAUAUGACUAAAGGCCCUAAGGCCAAGUUGAUCUUCAACACAACUCCACUGAGUCAAGAGAAAUACACCAGGGAUAAAGUUUGGCCUGAUAGUGAAAACCACAGGCAAGUGAAAAUGAUUCCCACAAUCAAGCUGAUCUGAAAAAUGCACUUAAAUUUUGCCCUUAAAGGAAUCAUUUUCCUAACAAUAAUGGAUAAAAUGAAAUGCUUGUCAAAAUUAUUACAAGCAUAUGGGGAUGAGACGAUCAACAUUUUAUGAAUUAUUUCCUUCAGCAGCAAUAUGUUUGCUUCAUUCUUUAGCCAUUCUUCUUUCUUUAAUUCCAAAGCUUGUGACCUUCCUGCUGGCUCUUCUAGAUUUACUACCUGCCCUGUUCAUUCUUGGCUUGCUAGAGCCACACAGAUGAUGUGUUUUGGAUGCUUAAUCCCAGCUUUGCCACUGUGUUAAUGUGGCAUUUUGUUGAGUAUUUUUCGGGCCAGUAUCCUUCGAGUCCAUCUCUACUAGUUCAUCAAUACUUGAACUGACCCCCAGGCAAUGCUAAGGGUAAGUAUCUGAUAUUAUCUCCCAGGACUGAGUUCUUGGUUCUCAGCUUAACACCUUACAAGGAUACCUAAGCGAAGAUGCUGUUUAGAAUGAAGACAAAACUUUCUCAGAAAGCUGUUUUGGAAUGUGGGACUUGCUUCCCAAGAGAGGAGAAUGAAUGACCACAGAAUUAAUCUCUUUCAAAGCUCUGUCCAAAACUCAUUUGUUGUGUUUAACUUGUUCUCAGCAAGUCCUAAACAUACGCUCAGAAACAAAGAGUGGAAAACUCAACUGUAGUUGUUCACAAAGGCAAACAAAACCCAAACAGGAGCAACUUGCCAGUGUGCUGAAAAGGUCGCUACCAAAACAAAACAAAACAAAACAAAACAAAAACUUCUAUAAAAUAAUUAUUUUUUUUCACUUAAAGUACUGAAAAGAGAAAAAAAAAAGAGAGAGAGAGAAAGGAGAAUAUACAGAGUCUUUUUUUGGAUGUUUAUCAGCUUGGGAGGGGUUACCAAGAACUCCAAGGCUUUUUCAUUGGCUUUUUCACCCUCUUGUACCUUCCAAGAGGCAUCAGGCCAUCUGAAUUACAUUCCUCUUCCUCAGUUAUGUAGUUCUCAGUCCCAGAAUUCAUGGUUGUGAGGGAGGGCUGGAGACUCCUGCCUGAUCCCCAGCACUUCAGGUAUUCACAGAUAUCGCUCCCGCACCUCUGUGUUUAACUCAUGUUUGGCAAAGUACAACGUGAUCUAAAUCAGGCAUCCCAGGAGGGCAGCCAGCUUGGAUUUGAAGGCAUCACGAAAUGUGAAUCCUAUCCUGGACCUGGAAUUCUUCCCAAAGAUUAAGCAUCUUCACUGAUAAAAUGCAUGCUACUUUCUUACUCGAAAUUACCAAGCCGUAGUGUGCUUGUCAUGGGGCCAAAGACCCCUUUCCUCCAGCAUCGCUUCCUGAAGGUGCUUGCACACUGUCAUAACAUCACCUCUCACUUUGCUUUUGAAUAAAUUUAGCAGAUUGAACUCCUCA
Molecule: long non-coding RNA, 2211 nt
Organism: Anser cygnoides (Swan goose)
Lineage: Eukaryota; Metazoa; Chordata; Aves; Anseriformes; Anatidae
Source: Ensembl